Molecule: long non-coding RNA, 1238 nt
Organism: Mesocricetus auratus (golden hamster)
Lineage: Eukaryota; Metazoa; Chordata; Mammalia; Rodentia; Cricetidae
Exons: 5
Source: RefSeq, a predicted model, not a curated record
CUGCUUACAAUCUCUGCUCCCGCGGAAUCGUGGCAGGAGCAGGAUCCAAGGCCUACGUCAAGAGAAGCUUUAGUAAAGCAUGAUUAUCUGUUCCUGGUCUCUGAGAACCUUGCGGCACCUGUCUUCCGCGAAUACAGCCUCGUUACCCUGAGCCUCAGUGCCCUGAGGAGCCUGGGCUGUCCGAGCGCGCCUGACUGAAAAUGCGCCUCGGGUCCCGCGGUAUUCAUUGGUCCGCACUACGUUACUGUCCCUUCGAGCGCCCCCGGGGGACAAGGAGCUGACUACGUCCCUCCCUCCCCCCCCCCCCCCGCCCCAGGGUUUACUUUGCGUUUCUGUGUGCAAACAUGAGUGUACCUGAUGCUGGUUGAAGGCCGAAGACAGCGUCAGACCUCCCGGGAUUGCAGCUACGGAUGGUUGUGAACGACAUGGGAAUCGAACGCAGGUCUUCUGAAAACAGAUGUGCGGCCCGGAGAGAAGGCCCAGAGGUCCUGAGUUCAAUUCCCAGCAACCACAUGGUGGCUCACAACCACCUACAGUGAGAUCUGGCGCCCUCUGCUGGCGUGUACAUGCAGACAGAGCACUUGACUUCUCAGCACCUUCCCAGGCAUCCCGCCAUCUGAGAGUAUGGUUAACUGGAUAUGCUUCAUCUCCAACCCCCAGCAGACUAGAGGCCAAGACCUGGUGUCCCCAGGUACCCAGCAUGGCAACCCACAGUGUCCAUCUGUUCGCUGAGCUAGUGCCUAUGAAAGAAUGACUUCUUCCCACUUUUGUCGUGCGUGUACAACUACAAUAAGUGCUGAAUGACCGCAACAGGACAGCGCUUUCCUCCUGUCUGGCCUUAACUCGCAGCCAUCUGCCUCCUGAGUGGAAAGAUGACCGACCUGAGGGGACGAGAUUGGAAUCCAGGGAUUUGUGCAGGCCCGGCUUAUACUCACCACUCAGCCACGCCCCCAGCCCCUCACUGGGGGAUUCUAGGUGGGGACUCCAUCCUGACCACGCCCCCAGCCACGUCCCACCGGGGAUCCUAGGUAGGAGUGUUCUGUCUGCAUGUGUGCCUGCAGGCCAGAAGAGGGCGCCAGAUCCCGUUACAGAUGGCUGUGAGCCACCUUGUGGUUGCCAGGAAUUGAACUCAGGAUCCCUGGAAGAUCAGCCAGUGCUCCAACCUGAUGCUACCACCCUUAAUACAAUUCCUCAUAUUGUGGUGACCCCCAACCAUAAAAUCAUUUUUGUUGCUACUA